CGCGUCGGUCGCCGGCGGAGCCUGCGGGGAAGCUCGGACCCCGAGUGGGCGACUGGGCGGCGUCUCUGGCUCGUUCCCUUAGGCUGCGGCUGGAUCUCGUGCUCGCCAGUAGCCACGGGGAACCGAGUCGCCACCAAGCGUGGCCGAACUCGGGCCGAUUGGCCCCGACUCAUUUGCCCACCGACGUGGCCCCGGAAACCACCAGAAUCAGGAAGCUGCUGUGAUCAGGAAGUCUCCAUUACAGCUUCUGGAUCUCUGGAGCCUCCUGAAAUCCACAUCCUCAAGAUGGAUGGUGUGGGCCCUCCUUCGACACCUCCAAGGCUAUGCAGCGGCCACACACUGGGACCUCUGUUCAUCCUGGUGAAGAACUGUCCAGUGACUCCUUGAUCAAGCUUGCCAGCAAAACAGCAGAAGCGGCAGAAACGAAACUGGAACCAACGAAGUGCACCAUGAGAACCUAAAUUAUAUUUAGAACUUUGCUUCAGGGAAAUCUGAGAAAAACAAUCUUGUGGUGUUCCACCUCUCCGAAAGAGGAAGGUACACUAAAAGGAGCUUGGAAUGGCUGCUGAGCACCAACCCACUCCAUAUUACACCUUUGGCUGUUAAACACUCAUAUAUUCUCUUUCCUAAAUUGAGCUUCCAUGAAAACACAGGUCCUCACUAAUAUUCAAACACAUUUUCCUGCUCCUCAAAGGGAGACCUACACUUCUCAGUAUCCAUGUCUGGGCAAUGUUUAUUUUUCCCCUGUAACCUAGUCAUGACCCAUUUUUGAUGUCCUACAACCGGUGUUCUAGAGGAGAGUUAAUCCUGACCCAAAACUCCUUCAUAGAACAGUAAGGGGAAGGGGGAAGGAAUAAAAAGGAUAGUUAUUAAUAGAUGUAAAUAAUAGAAAGGAAAACUAGGAGCUACAGCACUACAGUCCUCACAUGUGGUCUUAGUCAGGAGUCGUCAUUGGUAUUUGUGACUUCUUCCUCUUCUUCCCAUUCACUGUAGUCUUUGCACCCAGGCAAUUGCUCAGAGCCCUGGACUUCAUUGCCUGGUGACAUGAAACCUUUCUUCCUGAGGACCCUGAGCUCUAGGACUGCUG
RNAcentral lists this long non-coding RNA (1087 nucleotides) under Heterocephalus glaber (naked mole-rat). RNAcentral describes it as "lncRNA (ENSHGLG00100047956.1)". Lineage: Eukaryota; Metazoa; Chordata; Mammalia; Rodentia; Bathyergidae. The record is from RNAcentral.